RNAcentral lists this long non-coding RNA (1545 nucleotides) under Olea europaea (common olive). RNAcentral describes it as "long non-coding RNA (OEUR_LNC000929)". Lineage: Eukaryota; Viridiplantae; Streptophyta; Magnoliopsida; Lamiales; Oleaceae. The record is from RNAcentral.
AAGAUCCUGCUUUCUUUUUAUAAUUUUGUCUUUCGGAUAAUGGAUUGUUCAUUCGAUUUUUGGCAGAUGCAAAAAGCUUUCGGCUAAUUUCAACUUCCGCAUAUUUGUGCGAUUUAAGGGCAAACUUUUGGCUCAUUAUUUAGGCUUUUAUUUUUACCUUUUGCAUUGGUAUGAGUUUCUUGAUUUAUUGAAUAUUGUGUGCUUCUUGGGUUUCUCUUUUGUUUGAUAUUGUUUGGUUUUGUUCUGUGAAACCUCAUUUAAAUACUUUUCUCUGAUGAAAUGAAUUAAUUUAUGUACUCGGCUUUCUUGUUGUACUUAGAAAUUUGAAGAAAACACACAUUUGGGCAAAUCUCUGAAUUCUUGACGGAAUUAUUUGCUACUGAAAAUAUAGAAAACUAUAUCUGGUUUUAAGGUUUUUUAAGCCUUUGAAUGAUGCUCAAAUAAUUGAGUUUGGCUUGUAAUUAAAGAUUUUUCUUUGACUGCUUGAAAUGAUUAAUGCUAUAUUACAUGAAUAUGGGAUUGGUGAAAUAUUCUUUAUGCCCUUUUGUUUGAUAAUGUUAUAGAGGGUAGGAAGAAUACAAGGAAAACCAGGUUUAUUCAAAUUGUGUGGCAAGAAAACAGGUUUUAACAAUUGGUGAAUUAUCGCCAGUAGAAGCAUUUUAAAGAUGGGUCUAAAAUCUAAAACAAGGGUGGAGAGGUAAUAGAAUUAAUAUAGACAUUUGAGAGCUUUGGACAGUUUGAUUGAAGAGAGGGGAGUAAAAAUGGCUGCCAAGCUUUUACAUUCAUUGACAGAUGAAAAUCCCGAUUUGAAAAGCAAAUAGGAUGUAUGGCAGACAUAUUUCAAAUGUUCGAUCGCCAUCAUAUUUUUACUGGAUAGCACAUCUAGAAGAGGAUUCCUUUGGGUAAAUAUUCCCUGUAGUAUUGUUUCUUGACUAUAAUCUUAUAGGAUUUCUUAUCUGCUUAGUUCGAUAUUCUAUAACUAGUGAGAAUACUAAAUAUGACUAUAGCUUAAUUUUUCAGGUUGUGAGUAAUGUUUUAUUAGGAUCGUGAUCGAGAUCUAAACAAAGUAAAAUGGGUUGAUCUUGGUGAAGAAGCAACUGAGAUGAUUUUGAUGAAGAAACAACUGGAGCCACUAUUGGAGAUGCCUUUGGCGGUGGCUGGCAUGGGAAAGAAGAUAUCGGAACUACUUCGGUCGCCAAAACAGUGCCCUUGUCUUUUCUCUUUCUUUUUUUUUUCUUUUCAUUUUAUUUAUAUUUAUAUGGUAAUUAUGAACUUACAGAUUUGCCCUUCAAUUAAAUGGUCAAAAUGAGUAAAAAAAAAUGAAUUUUUUAGUCAAUUGACGGAUGAAUGAACAAAUUCCAUCCACGUGUCCUCCAUUUGCAACAGUCAUUAAAGGUUUCCCAGCUACUAAAAUGAAAAGUUUUGGUAUAUUCUGCUAAGUUUCGAAAGGUUAGGGACCUUGACUACUAUUCUCCUGUAAUACAAAUUAAACAUAAGGUGUGCUAUUAUAACUAUAAAGCAUAUGUUUUAAUUAAACAAAGAACC